Molecule: ribosomal RNA, 275 nt
Filed under: uncultured bacterium
Lineage: Bacteria
Description: partial 16S ribosomal RNA
Rfam family: Bacterial small subunit ribosomal RNA
Source: RNAcentral
GCGUGGAUGAUGAAGGCCUUAGGGUUGUAAAAUCCUUUCGUCGGGGACGAUAAUGACGGUACCCGAAGAAGAAGCUCCGGCUAACUUCGUGCCAGCAGCCGCGGUAAUACGAAGGGGGCUAGCGUUGUUCGGAUUUACUGGGCGUAAAGCGCAUGUAGGCGGGUCGUUAAGUUGGGGGUGAAAUCCCGAGGCUCAACCUCGGAACUGCCUUCAAAACUGGCGACCUGGAGCGUGAUAGAGGCGAGUGGAAUUCCGAGUGUAGAGGUGAAAUUCGU